AAUAGAUACCCGGGUAGUCCACGCCGUAAACGAUGAGUGCUAAGUGUUAGGGGGUUUCCGCCCCUUAGUGCUGCAGCUAACGCAUUAAGCACUCCGCCUGGGGAGUACGGUCGCAAGACUGAAACUCAAAGGAAUUGACGGGGGCCCGCACAAGCGGUGGAGCAUGUGGUUUAAUUCGAAGCAACGCGAAGAACCUUACCAGGUCUUGACAUCCCACUGACCGCUAUGGAGACAUAGUUUUCCCUUCGGGGACAGUGGUGACAGGUGGUGCAUGGUUGUCGUCAGCUCGUGUCGUGAGAUGUUGGGUUAAGUCCCGCAACGAGCGCAACCCUUGAUCUUAGUUGCCAUCAUUUAGUUGGGCACUCUAAGGUGACUGCCGGUGACAAACCGGAGGAAGGUGGGGAUGACGUCAAAUCAUCAUGCCCCUUAUGACCUGGGCUACACACGUGCUACAAUGGACGGUACAAACGGUUGCCAACCCGCGAGGGGGAGCUAAUCCGAUAAAACCGUUCUCAGUUCGGAUUGUAGGCUGCAACUCG
Molecule: ribosomal RNA, 539 nt
Filed under: uncultured bacterium
Lineage: Bacteria
Description: bacterial SSU rRNA
Rfam family: Bacterial small subunit ribosomal RNA
Source: RNAcentral